Molecule: ribosomal RNA, 372 nt
Filed under: uncultured organism
Description: bacterial SSU rRNA
Rfam family: Bacterial small subunit ribosomal RNA
Source: RNAcentral
CAGAGGCCUCAAGCGUUAGGCGGAAUCACUGGGCUUAAAGCGUGUGUAGGCGGGUCGUUAAGUACCUUGUGAAAUCCUAUGGCUUAACCGUGGAACCGCUUGGUAUACUGGCGAUCUUGAGCCACUUAGGGGCUACCGGAACAGAUGGUGGAGCGGUGAAAUGCGUAGAUAUCAUCUGGAACGCCAAUGGUGAAAACAGGUAGCUGGGAGUGUGCUGACGCUGAGACACGAAAGCCAGGGGAGCGAACGGGAUUAGAUACCCCGGUAGUCCUGGCCCUAAACGAUGUCCACUAGAUCGUGGCGGCUCUGACGUCGUCACGGUCGAAGUAAAAGUGCUAAGUGGACCGUUUGGGAAGUACGGUCGCAAGGCUA